Molecule: ribosomal RNA, 554 nt
Filed under: uncultured fungus
Lineage: Eukaryota; Fungi
Description: eukaryotic LSU rRNA
Rfam family: 5.8S ribosomal RNA (bases 188-341)
Source: RNAcentral
AACAAGGUCUCCGUUGGUGAACCAGCGGAGGGAUCAUUACCGAGUUUACAACUCCCAAACCCCUGUGAACAUACCACUUGUUGCCUCGGCGGAUCAGCCCGCUCCCGGUAAAACGGGACGGCCCGCCAGAGGACCCCUAAACUCUGUUUCUAUAUGUAACUUCUGAGUAAAACCAUAAAUAAAUCAAAACUUUCAACAACGGAUCUCUUGGUUCUGGCAUCGAUGAAGAACGCAGCAAAAUGCGAUAAGUAAUGUGAAUUGCAGAAUUCAGUGAAUCAUCGAAUCUUUGAACGCACAUUGCGCCCGCCAGUAUUCUGGCGGGCAUGCCUGUUCGAGCGUCAUUUCAACCCUCAAGCACAGCUUGGUGUUGGGACUCGCGUUAAUUCGCGUUCCCCAAAUUGAUUGGCGGUCACGUCGAGCUUCCAUAGCGUAGUAGUAAAACCCUCGUUACUGGUAAUCGUCGCGACCACGCCGUUAAACCCCAACUUCUGAAUGUUGACCUCGGAUCAGGUAGGAAUACCCGCUGAACUUAAGCAUAUCAAUAAGCGGAGGAA